AACUUUCACUUUUUUUUUUUAUUUAAAAGAAAUUAAGAUAGAAAUGGCUUUAAAGACAGAAUGUAUAACACAUUUCCAACUCAGCUCCCAGUUUCAUCCGUUCACAAUCAUUGAACAACCAAACACAGACUCCUCCUAUCCUAUUAUUUCUUCACUUGCGAAUCGCAACAAAAUAAAAGCUUCAAUUGAAAAUCCAAAAACUCAGCAGUCUAACAACUAAAGCCUACAGUUUCUCAUAUUUUUUCCACUUGCAGAAAACUCAAAUUCAAAUUCAGUAAUAUAUCCUCAAUUUUCUAGGUAUUUGGCAGCAUAAUGAACUAAAAGGAAGGGAAGGGAGGGGAAUCAAGCUGGAGCCAGGGGUUCUUGCCCUUGCGAAGAGCAGAAAUU
This 387-nucleotide unclassified non-coding RNA is filed under the name Hevea brasiliensis (rubber tree). Lineage: Eukaryota; Viridiplantae; Streptophyta; Magnoliopsida; Malpighiales; Euphorbiaceae. The record is from RNAcentral.